Molecule: ribosomal RNA, 1341 nt
Filed under: Triticum aestivum (bread wheat)
Lineage: Eukaryota; Viridiplantae; Streptophyta; Magnoliopsida; Poales; Poaceae
Description: partial small subunit ribosomal RNA
Source: RNAcentral
AUGCCUGCGGUGCAGAGGAUGGAAGAUGGGUUGAGGUCCGAGACGUCCAGACUUAAAGCUAAAGAGAAGAAGGGGGAGGAGGAGAAGAGGAAGGGGAAGGAGGAUGGGAAUGAGGACAAUCAUGUCUGUCUUGGGUCUGGAUUCUUUCGUUGGAAUGCAGAGCCAGCCAGGGAUGAUGCAUCGUCAGCGCUGAAGCAACAACUGCUUAUGCCCCAACAGUCAAAAUUAAUGCCCACUCCAUCGGACACACCCAAUCCUAUAAUACCUGAGAUUACAGCAAUGACUACGAGGACUUCCACGCUCAAGGGCAAGGUAUAUCAUUUUGAGUCUUGUUUGAUGCCUCUAAGGUCUGAAAGUCCAAAGACUUAUGGCAUAUGUUCUUUUCCCAGCCUUGGUCAGAUCACUUCUGAAAGCAAAGAUCCUGAGAUGGUGAAAAUUGGCCUCCGCGUCCUUACAAGAUCGAGCGAGAACUUGGAUGAGAGGAGGUUAUAUUCAACCAUUCAUGAAAUACUGAAAGCUGUAGUUGCUAAAUACAAUGCCAGUCAGCUUCUAACACAGCAAGAGCGCGUGAGGUGGGAGAUUAGAAAGAUACUGACAGAUCAGGCACAGAACUUUGGAAUUGCCAUUGAUGGUGUCUCCAUUGUAAGCCUGAGCUUUGAAAAGGUGUUUACUCAGGACAUUCAAGAGAAAGAGGUGACUACACAAGAAGAUGAGCAAGGUAACAGGACUACACAAGAAGCUGGGCAAGAUAACAGGAGUGCAAUGAUCAGGUCACAGGAGGACGAUCAGAUCUGGAACAAGAGGCAGAUUGGCUACAUAUUUGAUCUAGGUACUGCGCUGGGCAUCAUAUUUUUGAUUCGACCCUGGUUGCCUAGUGGCUAUGAUCGUUGGAUAUUGGCUGCGUUUGCUGCCGUUUGGGGGGCGGGCAGCGUGGGCUUGCCCAUCGGAAUGUUUGGCACCUCCAGGGUUGAAAAAAAUUGCAGUCGACAUGUAGGGCGAUUCAUCUCUCUUUCCUUCUCACUGCUGGUCCUCUAUGCCAUCUACAUCCUCACACUAAAUGUCUCCGGCACUCCAUCAACUCCAUCUGUGUCGUCAUUUGGAAUCACCAACGGUGAUGGUGAUGGUGAUGGUGAUGCUGACUGGUGGACAACUGCUGGCUUCAUUGUGAUUGCGGCUCUAGUGGCAUUUGGACACCUAUGUUCCUGGAUAAGAGUGGUGACAGGGACAUGUUGCCUUAGAAUGUUGACAACAGUCUGGUGUAACCCUGGCCAUGUCAGCUCUCUUUUUCCGAGCCCUGAGACGGGAAAGCAAGAAGUGUUUGUCGAUGCUCGCUGGUUAUGA